Long non-coding RNA from Oncorhynchus tshawytscha (Chinook salmon), 3239 nucleotides. The record is from Ensembl. NCBI's taxonomy places the organism in Eukaryota, Metazoa, Chordata, Actinopteri, Salmoniformes, Salmonidae.
UAUCUAAAUACAUAUGGGUAUGAUAUCUAAAUACAUAUGGGUAUGAUAUCUAAAUACAUAUGGGUAUGAUAUCUCACAGUAGGGACGGAUGUUGUGUUGUUAAACUCCUAACAAUGAUAUCUCACUGACAUGCACUACUGGUCAAACGUUUUAGAACACCUACUCAUUCAAGAGUUUUUCUUUAUUUUUUAAAAACUAUUUUCUGCAUUAUAGAAUAAUAGUGAUCAAAACUACAAAAUAACACAUGGAAUCAUGUAGUAACCAAAAAGUGUUAAACAAAUCAAAAUAUAUUUUAUAUUUGAGAUUCUUCAAAGUAGCCACCCUUUACCUUGAAGCUUCUGUGCACACUCUUGGCAUUCUCUCAAUUUCAGUUAACAAGUGUACCUUCUUAAAAGUUAAUUUGUGGAAUUUCUUUCCUUCUUAAUGUUUUUGAGCCAAUCAGUUGUGUUGUAUCAAGGUAGGGGUGUAUAGAGAAGAUAGCCCUUUAUGGUAAAAGACCAAUGGCAAAAUGGCAAACAUAGCUCAAAUAAACAAAGAAAAAUGAUUGUCCAUCAUUACUUUGACAUGAAGGUCAGUCAAUACGGAAAAUUGUAAUAAGUUUUAAAAUUUCUUCAAGUGCACUCUCAAAAACCAUCAAGCGCUAUGAUGAAACUGUCUCUCAUGAGGACCGCCACAGGAAUGGAAGACCCAGGGUUACCUCUACUGUAGAGGAAAUGUUCAUUAGCGUUACCAGCCUCAGAAAUUGCAGCCCAAAUUAAUUCUUCACAGAGUUUAAGUAACAGACACAUCUCAACAUCAAUUGUUCAGAGGAGACUGUGAAUCAGGCCUUCGUAGUCAAUUUGCUGCAAAGAAACCAUAAAUAAGAAAUACUAAAGGACAUCAAUAUGAAGAAGAGACUUGCUUGGGCCAAGAAACACGAGCAAUGGACAUUAGAGCAGUGGAAAUCUGUCCAUUGGUCUGAUGAGUCCAAAUGUGAGAUUUUUGUUUCCAACAGCCGUGUCUUUGUGAGAUGCGGUGAGGGUGAACGGAUGAUCUCAGCAUGUGUAUUUCCCACCGUGAAGCAUGGAGGAGGAGGUGUGAUGGUGUGGGGGUGCUUUGCUGGUGACACUGUCUGUGAUUUAUUUAGAAUUCAAGGCACACUUAACCAGCAUGGCCACCACAGCAUUCUGUAGCGAUACGCCAUCCCAUCUGGUUUGGGCUUAUCAUUUGUUUUUCAACAGGACAAUGACACACCUCCAGUAGGUGUUCUAACACUUUUGGUCAGUAGUGUGUACAGCGGGGUCAGAAAUGAUUGAUACCCUUGAUAAAGAUGAGCGAUACUGACUGUAUAAAAUAAAUUAUUCAAAUACCGAGCUAUGUUGCCUUCAGAAAGUAUUCACACCCCUUGACUUUUUUCUGAUUUUGUUGUGUUACAGCCUGAAUUUAAAAUGGAUUAAAUGCUUUAGAUUUUGUAAAAAAAAAACUGUAACUGUAAUCCAUUACUUUACCAGCAAAAAUCAGAUUCCAGAUUCUUUUGAAAAACUAAAUGAUUACUUUUAAAUUCAGAAAGGAUGUUUGCAAAAAUAAAAUCCUUGAUCCUUCUCGGUUUUCUCAAUGACAUUCAAAUCAGUGUUGAAAAAAGGCUCAAGCUUAAAUUUGUUCAAUGUGAACGAGUCUGACCAUAAUUCAGAGACAACUAUGAUUACACACCAAAUGUGUUUGAUGGAUCGUGGGAAAAGAGCAGGAACAGGCUUUUGUAGGCUACAGUCCAAGCUAUGUCUUCCAUUGUAGGUCCUGUAAGGACGACAGCAGUGGUUAUAUGUAACCACUUAUCAUUGAUAUCUACUUAUUGCAUUGAUGUGAAUCACACUGCUGCUCUCUCAUUUUGCGCCUUACGGAUUGUGGUUGUUCUGGACGGCUGUUUACAUAUCGACUUGGGUAUUUGGAACCAAUAAUGUUGAAUUCAAGAGGUUUAAGCUGCCUAUCAAUCAUUGUAUUUGAAACCAAUGUGCUCUUGGAACAGCUGCAUGGUGCAGAUCCCAGACGAUGGAAUAAAGCAGGGCUUUUAUUGCUCAAUCUAAUUUAUGCUGAUGACAAAAAUGUAUCCAUAAUCCUAAUGGACACAUUUUGAUAGACUUAAAGUGGCAAUCUGUUGCUACAUCCAUUUUUUGACUUAUACAUUAUAUAUAUAUAUAUAUUUAUAUAUAUAUAUUUAUAUAUAUAUAUAUAUAUAUAUAUAUAUAUAUAUAUAUAUCCAUUGAUUCUUGAAGAAUAUAAUUUAUAAAUGCCUCAUGAGCUAACUGUCACAUAGUCACACUCCAUGAGAACCCAAAAUAUAAGGUUGUUUUUCUCCACUGAUUUAAACAUUGUAAAUGUUUAUUAUAUUAUUAUUAUUAUAAAUAUUAUUAACUUUUAUUUCUUAUUCUUACAUUUUUGUAGGUAUUUAAAAAUAUAUAUGUUUAACUGCAUUGUUUGUGAGAGCUACACCUGUUGUUUUCAGCAUUUCACUGUGAGGUCUACUACACCUGUUGUAUUCAGCAUUUCACUGUAAGGUCUACUACACCUGUUGUAUUCUGCGCAGGUGAGAAAUACAAUUUGAUUUGAUAUUUCCAAUUCUUGAAGAUCAACGUUUGUUGUAAUGACUGGAGUUCUGAUAACUUUGGUUUUUAAAGAUAUCAUUUAUAAUAAUUUUUAAAGAUAUAAUUUCAUCAUAUUAUAAUGAAUAUCAUUAUCAUAAAUAACAGAGUAGGGCUGGCUAAUAAGUCCUUAAUUCUGGGGUCAUGCUCAGGUAAAACAAUUUGGCUAAUCUAUACUUCCAUUUUUCCACGUCUAAUUCCUGAAGAUCAAGGGGUAUUACAAUGACUGGAAUUCUGAUGACUUUGGUUUUUAUUGUAAAGAUAGAAUUUCAUCAUAUUAUAAUGUAGUAGAAAGCGAUAGGUUAGAGGAAGCCUACAUAACCAACCCAUAAAGUACAAUGUAACAUCCAUAUAUGGCCAACUAUGUAAACUUUAACAUGGAUUUAUACUGCAAUAGAUGUGGUUCAAUUGGUAACCUACGUUGCCAUCUUCCUCUAACGCCUCUUAAAGGGGAAAGUAAUCUAAAGGUAACUGAAUGUAAUCAGAUUACAUUACUGAUUUUGGUAAUCCAACAGUUACUGAUUACUAUUUUGAACAGGUAAUUAGUUACUGUAAUGGAUUACAUUUCGAAAGUAACCCUCUCAACCCUGACUGGCCAACACACAAUACCCCAUAAUGUCAAAG